Molecule: RNA transcript, 7539 nt
Organism: Drosophila biarmipes
Lineage: Eukaryota; Metazoa; Arthropoda; Insecta; Diptera; Drosophilidae
Gene: lovit
Gene name: proton-associated sugar transporter A
Exons: 6
Source: RefSeq, a predicted model, not a curated record
UUUAUUUCUGAUCUUUCGGCCAAAGCACACGCGUUUUAAAUCAAAUCGAAUUUUGCAAAGAAGUGCUAAGUCCACGUGUGUAUAUAUAUAUGCACCACCUCGGGCUUAAUAACCGCCCAACAAGACAAACACACUAAUAAGUGAAGCACCACAAAGCUAAUUUCAAACGCCCAAAGUGGCUGGCGUAAUUUAGCUGGCACCGAUCGCAACAUCCAACUUAUAGUUGAAAAACUAAUUAGGAGCGCUCAGCGCUAUUUGAUCAAAUCGCCUGGUGCCCGUUUUGGCCCACUCUGGCUGCCAACACGUGGAGCGGGACUACUCGAGCCGAGCCACAUACAGUUUACCAGUGCAAAUUUAAGUUUCGAGCCAAGCUUCCCAACCGUUUUCCUAAAUUGAUACACGUGUUGUUCGCCAUAUUCUCCUGAGCAGUUGCGAGUAACCUAACCCCGGACUGAUGGUUAGCCAUCGACACGUCCAACACGAGCGUAUAGCGGAUAAGCAGACACCCUGGACUCUUGUUCUAGCUGUUGAAUCUGCCGCUUCGCCGCUAAGGAUUCACCCCCGAUCUCGGCAGCCGAUCUGACUGUUGUAGUUUUUAGAAUAGAUUUAAAUUUUAUAGAAAUUAAGCUUAUUACACGGGUACAGUAUGUAUAUUUGGCCUUAGAUUGACUGUUAACUAAUAAUAUUUUGUAGUUCACUCAGCAUACACACAUCUUCGUUUACACACACCGUCCACAGGCCUGUCGACUGCACUGGAAACAGAUUUAAAGUAUUUAUGUUGUAAGUACGGCAGAGCCGACCGUCUGUUAGCAUCAAUCUGAGCCAAGUAAUAUAACUAUAGAAUAACUAUAGAUUCAAGUUUCGACACCCGUGCUAUUUUGUUGAAGACUGCCUUUUUUCUUUUUAAAACUUAAUUGUUAAUGUAAAUUUUUUAUUGAAGAACCUAAAUGAAGUCAUUUGUACCUAUUAUAUGGUUAAUCUGCCAUGGGCAAGCUAACGUUAAGCAAAUCGUAAGCAUCUGCCAUGGGCAAGCUAACGUUAAGCAAAUCAUAAGCAUCUGCCAUGGGCAAGCUAACGUUAAGGAAAUCAUAAGCCGCCGCCAUGGGCAACUUAUCUUUAAUUGAAUUUUGGUACGUAUUUGAGAAUGAAGUAUAAAAUGAAGAAACUUUGUUUGCGAAUUUGGACACCUGAAGUAACUGUGCAUCAUUAAUAAGGGCAUUGGCCACAUACGCAAAGCGAGCCUUUGCAAGGUUGGGUGGGUUUUGAAGAGGAAUUAAAUGACAUCUGCAAUUUCUCACACUUAGUAUAAAAUUAGAUUCGUUGAGCUUUGGUUUAGUUUGUCAAUAGUUCCCUACUCUGUCUACUAUUUAAGUUUAUGUGACGGUGCGGUUCUCUAGGUAGCAAAACCCCACUCCCAUUUUCCCUGAGCACAGCCGACCCUGUAGGCAGAGUACGCUGCCAGAUAGCCGCACACAUUGUCGUGUUCGUUACAUAUUCUUUGGCGCCCAACCUGGGGCAAUCGGAAAUCAGGAAAAUACCGUAUCUUGAGAAGAUAACAGAGUUAAUAUUUCGUGUCGCUACCCAAUGCAAUAUUCUAAAGAAAAAUCCAAUUUUUUUUGAGCCUUAAUGUGAUACUUUGGAAUUCAGACAUCGCGCAUUCUUAGGUGCUGAACCUAGAUUAUGUUAUCGCUUAAUCCUUAUUCCCAUAUCAACAAUAAAUGAAUUGCUUCGGAAUGUGAGAUUUGGGUAAAAGCUCGAAUUCGCACCAGGCAACAUUAUUCUUUUAUUAAUCACAUUUAAUACACAUAUGAAAAGUCAUUUCAGAUUUACUUUGUUGGAAAUUUCUAACAAGUACUCAUGAUUAUAUUUUUAGAGAUCAAACAUUAAGUCAUUACUGCUUUGAGAUUUGUUUAGCUGAAGAGUUUUUGGAAAGACACUCAGCAGUAAUGCAAUUGCUUCCUAAUAUUAAAAGGCUUUUGCACAACAGGAACCCUAAUUUUAUAUUAAUAUUUAUUUGAUGCACGGUAACUAAAGGAUAGCCCCAAUUUUAAAUCAGAGUUUUAUAUUUAUAAUAUUUGAAAUAAUAUUAUAAUACUACAACAUGUCAGUUCAGAGGAACGUUCUCUUUGUAUUAUUUGCAAUGAUACUAUGGUAAUAGAUACUGAACUUGCAGAAACCCCCUGUAGACAUAAAUUUCACAGAACAUGCGUGGUACUGUGGUUAGGAAGUAAUGAAACUUGUCCGCUUUGCCGAAGUGCUUGUAACCUGGUACAACUGAUAACCUUUCCUGCUGCUCAACCGAAUAGGUCUACUAAUGAUACUAAUAGGGAAGUUCGAGGUGCUUCUGCCAAUCAAGCUACUGGAGCCGUUAACCGAACUGGACCAAACACAAGAGCGAAUUCCAAUCAGAACUUAACGAAUCAGAGAGCACACUGUAGCUUGAGAACCCAAAACACAACACAUAGAUCAACUGAACGUUCUAGCAUUUCCGAAACUCGAGUACAGCAGUUAAUCACAGACUCCUUAGAAACCUUUCGCGUUAGCAUGGUUGCAGCAGUAGCGGAUGAGAUCAGUAAUACGAUGCGAAACCUUCAGUUGGCUAAUAAUUCCCAAAAUCGAAUGAUUUCUUAAUAGCAUGGCAGGUAGGUCGGCAGCCCGUCUUCCUCCAAACCGGCGAUUUGUAAAUGAGCUAGUGCAGGUUGAAGAGUCUAGGGAAGAAGAGAAUUAUCAAACUAUGAACGACGUAGAAAUAAAUGUGAUGCGCAAUGCUGAGCGUUAUAAAUGUUGGAAUUGUGAGGAAACCGGACACAGAUAUCAUGAUUGCCUCAAAGCCAGACGCAUAUUUUCCUAUGGGUGUGGUCGUCCUGACACUUAUAAGUCUAGUUGCUUGAAAUGUAAUCCCCCGUCGGAAAACUCGUAAGAGGAUGUCCAUCAAUUCUGACUGGUGGAUAUCCUAUUUCAAACUCAGCAUCAAGAGCAGGUUCUAAUAAUCUUUCAUCUUUUAAUUUAAGUAACUGUCAACCCGACUCGACAACAUCUAACCCAGAAUUAGACAAACCCAACUGUAUGUUAAUUAAAAACACUACAGAGCCCUCACGAAACUUUAAAAUUAUCCCCUACACUACGAAUUAAUUCCGCCAACAAAUCUCGAUCGGCUAAUCGAAUGUGUUCAUUUUGGAAACAGCAGCGAAAAAUGAAGAAGUAUGUCGUAUCCUCUAUUGUUAGGCAGGACAAUGACAACCGUUAAUACAUUGCUUUGGAAUUAUUUAACAAAACCUUCUUGGCCUUGCUUGAUAGUGGAGCUAACAAAUGCGUAGUAGGUGGUAAAUUGGCUAAGCUUAUUCCUACAGAUCAUCCAGGGUUAAGGAAGUUAAAAUGUUAUGUUCGUACAGCCGACGGACAAAAUCAAAACGUCACCGCUACCAUUAUCGUUCCAAUUCACUAUAACUCCUUAUAUCAGGAUGUAGAAUUUUUAAUAGUUUCCAGUAUUAAACAAGAUAUAAUCUGCGGAAUGGAUUUUUGGAAACUAUUUGGUCUUCGAAUAUCCAGUCCAACGACUAUAUCCGAAAUUUCUGACUCCAAUGAUUUAAGUGACAGAGUCUUGCUUAAUGCAACCGAUCGAAACCGAUUUCAAGCUGUUAUCGAAUUCUUUCCAUCGUCUGAAAAAAGUGGUUUAGGAAAAACAACCCUAAUUGAACAUCAUAUUGACACCGGUGCAGCAAAAGCAAUUAAGCAAAGAUAUUACAACCUAUCUCCAGCCAAAGAGCUUAAGUUAUGCCAGGAAGUAGACCGCAUGAUUAGUCUGGGAGUACUAGAAGAAGCGCCCGCGUCCUCAUGGUCUUCUCCGGCAGUCUUGGUCGUAAAACCAGGCAAAGUGAGAAUUUGCUUAGAUUCUAGGAAGCUUAAUUCUGUUACAGUAAAGGAUGCUUAUCCUACUCCUCUUAUUGAAGGUCUACUAAGUCGCUUACCUCCAGUACACUGCAUAUCGAAAAUUGAUUUAAAAGACCCGUUUUGGCAGAUAUGUCUAGACGAAGAAUCGAAACCAAAAACCGCAAUAACCAUACCCAACCGUCUUUUAUAUCAAUUUACACGAAUGCCUUUCGGACUAACUAAUGCUCCGCAAACACUUUGUAAACUUAUGGAUAAAGUAAUACCUUAUAGAAUGAAAUCACACGUGAUGGUAUAUUUAGAUGACCUAUUAGUCAUAUCUUCAAGUUUCGAAGAGCAUCUUUCUCAUCUGGCCGAAGUCGCUACGCAACUUCGAAAGGCAGGUCUUACUAUUAAGAUCGCCAAAAGUCAGUUUUGCUUAAAGAAAAUCGAAUACUUAGGGUACAUUGUUGGAGAGGGAACUUUGCAAGUGAAUCCCAAUAAAAUAGCCGCCGUGUCCAACUUUCCUGUUCCAAAAACCAAACGUCAACUUAAGAGAUUUCUCGGGAUGACCGGUUGGUAUCAACGGUUUAUUGACCAAUAUUCGGAACAAACCUUCCACCUAACCGAGUUGUUGCGAGGAAAAGAAUUUCACGGGAAUGAUAACGCCCAAGUUUCUUUUGAACAAUUGAAAAAGCCUCUGACCACUGCUCCAUUAUUAGUACAUCCCAAUUACGAAAAACCGUUUAUAGUGCAGUGUGAUGCCUCAAUCAAUGGUGUGGGAGCGCUUCUAGCUCAAUGUGAUGAAAACGGAAUAGAACGCCCUAUUGCAUAUAUGUCUAAGAAGCUAAAUAGAUCUCAAAGGAAUUUACUCUACCACGGAACUUGAAUGCUUAGCAUUAGUUCUAUCUAUUAAAAGAUUUCGAAUGUAUAUUGAGGGUCAUGAAUUUACUGUUGUGAGUGAUCAUGCAAGUCUCCGAUGGCUCAUGACGCAGCAAGACCUUCAAUGAAGACUUGUUCGGUGGGCACUCAAACUUCAAGGAUUUAAUUUUAGCAUAGAACAUCGUCGAGGUAGUGAAAAUGUAGUAGCCGAUGCCAUUUCAAGAUAUUUUGAAUCGGAUGAAGGCCUUGCCACCAUUGAUAUCGAUGUUCUCCCAGAAAUUGAUUUGGAAUCCGAAUUCUUUCAAUCCUCCAGCUAUUCGCAACUUAAAGAAAAGUUAACGCAGUCUCAACUACCGGAUUUUCAAGUAAUAGAUGGUUUUCUUUAUCACAGGGUUGGUUUCUCUAACAGUUCCUCCGAGCAUUUUGCGGUAUAGCCAAAUGUUUGGAAAAUAUUCGAAGAAAGUUUUACUGGCCGCGUAUGGUUGUAGACAUUUGCAAUUAUAUCAAAAACUGUUAGAUUUGUAGGACAUCAAAAUACCCCACGCAGAAACUUAAACCACCCAUAGGACAACAAAUUGUUAGCGAACGAGUAUUUCAAAGACUCUAUAUAGACUUUAUUGGUCUCUUCUCAAGGACGAAAAGAGGUAAUAUAGGAAUCUUUAUAGUACUCGAUCAUCUAUCGAAAUUCACGUUUCCUAAACCGGUAAAAGAGUUUACAACUCAAGUCGUCGUGUCAUACCUGAAAGAGGAAAUUUUUGAUUGUUACGGAACGCCUGAGGUUAUAGUAAGCGAUAAUGGUUCGCAAUUCAAAAGUCAUGAAUUAUCUUCUUUUCUUCUAAGCAUGGCAUUACCCACACAUGCACGCAGCCUAUUCGCCGCAGUCCAAUGCAGCAGAAAGAGUUAAUAGGUCUAUUAAUGCUGCAUUGAGAGCCUAUACCCGAUCCGAUCAGAGAGAAUGGGAUAGAUAUCUUAGUAGUAUAAACUGUUCUCAGCGUCGUCAUAUACAGCAGUCAAUAUCUGAAUCUCCAUUCUUUGUUGUUUUCGGGCAGAACACGGAAAAGAUUAUAAAUUACUCAAAAAUAUAAAUUUGCUUAAUGAAAGUUCCUUACGACUAAACCGACAAGACCAAUUCUCUACGUUACGAUUUGACCUCCAAAAGCAUUUAGACAAAGCUUAUGAAAAGAAUGAGCAAUCCUAUAACCUCCGAUCUAGGCCUCGAUCUUUUCAGGUAGGAGACGAGGUAAUUAAACGAAACUUCGCCCUUAGCAAUGCCGCCGCCCACUUCAAUGCUAAGUUUGCACCGGUAGGAAUAAAGGUCCGUGUCAAGCAAUGACUGGGAAACUGUCUCUAUUUACUUGAGGAUUUAAACGGAAGGGAAUUAGGAACAUACCAUGCAAAGGAUAUUUGGUAACAGUAUAAACCCUUUUUCAGGUUUUCUCUUUGUCGUAAAGACUAAAGAUUAAUCCUGUGCUGUAGGGGUGUGAAAUUAUUAAGAAAAGAUUCGUUUAUUUUUUUUAAAUAUAAAAUAGCGCUACUGGUUCCGCAACUUGGUGGCAACCAAACAUCCUAGAAAAUACUAAACUAUAAUUUCGUAUUUUCUAACACUGCUUGUCAGAGGGCUUGCACCCGCCAUUUGCGUUUUCUCGUGCCAAAGCACACGCGUUUUAAAUCAAAUCGAAUUUUGCAAAGAAGUGCUAAGUCCACGUGUGUAUAUAUAUAUGCACCACCUCGGGCUUAAUAACCGCCCAACAAGACAAACAUACUAAUAAGUGAAGCACCACAAAGCUAAUUUCAAACUCCCAAAGUGGCUGGCGUAAUUUAGCUGGCACCGAUCGCAACAUCCAACUUAUAGGUUAAAAACUAAUUAGGAGUGCGCAGCGCUUUUUGAUCAAAUCGCCUGGUGCUCGUUUUGGCCCACUCUGGCUGCCAACACGUGGAGCGGGACUACUCGAGCCGAGCCACAUACAGUUUACCAGUGCAAAUUUAAGUUUCGAGCCAAGCUUCCCAACCGUUGUAAGACGUAAAAAAAACUUUAGUUCCUAGAUUGAUACACGUGUUGUUCGCCAUAUUCUCCUGACCAGUUGCGAGUAACCUAACCCCGGACUGAUGGUUAGCCAUCGACACGUCCAACACGAGCGUAUAGCGGAUAAGCAGACACCCUGGACUCUUGUUCUAGCUGUUGAAUCUGCCGCCUCGCCGCUAAGGAUUCACCCCCAAUCUCGGCAGCCGAUCUGACUGUAGUAGUUUUUAGAAUAGAUUUAAAUUUUAUAGAAAUGAAGCUUAUUACACGGUUCACUCAGCAUACACACAUCUUCGUUUACACACACCGUCCACAGGCCUGUCCACUGCACUGGAAACAGAUUUAAAGUAUUUAUGUUGUAAGUACGACAGAGCCGACCGUUUGUUAGGAUCAAUCUAAGCCAAGUAAUAUAACUAUAGAAUAACUAUAGAUUCAAGUUUCGACACCCGUGCUAUUUUGUUGAAGACUGCCUUUUUUCUUUUUAAAACUUAAUUGUUAAUGUACAUUUUUGAAUAAAGAACCUAAAUGAAGUCAUUUGUACCCAUUAUAUGGUUAAUCUGCCAUGGGCAAGCUAACGUUAAGCAAAUCAUAAGCAUCUGCCAUGGGCAAGCUAACGUUAAGCAAAUCAUUAGCAUCUGCCAUGGGCAAGCUAACGUUAAGGAAAUCAUAAGCCGCCGCCAUGGGCAACUUAUCUUUAAUUGAAUUUUGGUAUGUAUUUGAGAAUGAAGUAUAAAAUGAAGUAACUUUGUUUGCGAAUUGGGACACCUGAA